Molecule: non-coding RNA, 94 nt
Filed under: Paenibacillus sp.
Lineage: Bacteria; Bacillati; Bacillota; Bacilli; Caryophanales; Paenibacillaceae
Description: c-di-GMP sequence
Rfam family: c-di-GMP-I riboswitch aptamer
About the family: GEMM was predicted in a large-scale screen for bacterial structured RNA regulatory elements. Genes associated with GEMM are involved in a diverse array of functions, including chemotaxis regulation, signal transduction, secretion and chitin.
Source: RNAcentral
UAUUGACAAAGGCAAACCCAUUGAAAAAUGGGGUCGCAAAGCUAUAGGAGCUAACGCGAUUGCAUGAUCGUCGCCACGCUAGCCAGCUACCAAU